AUCUAUAGGGAAAAGAUUGGCCUUGCUGACUGCCUUGCAAGGUGCAGCUACAACCUGGACUUAGGCAUUUGCUAUUUUGAUAAUGCUCAUGUGUGGGCAAAUGAUGCUCUGGUUGAUGACCUUCUAAGGGUCUCUCGUUCUCGUCAGAUUUCCCUUGUUUGUUGGGGUUUAUCCCUUCCCUCUCCCGCCCCUCCUCCUCCUCCUCUUGAACUCCAUGUAAUAAAUAAAAAAUAUUUGAUUUAGUUAGGUUCAGUUCCGAUUCGGUCGCUAAUCUCCUGUAGGUGAAAUUGUGAGCUUGAAAUGCAGCCGCCGCCCCGCUCUGGGGGUGGGUGGCUUCCCCAUCUUCCAUCUUUCUCUCCUCAUCUCCCUUUCACCUUUCCUAGUUUUCUUUCCCUCUCCACUUCUCUUCCUAGAUUUAUUUGGAUUUUAGGUCAUUUUACCCAAAUCUAUCUAGAUCUUGUCUUUUGUUUGUUUAUUUGUGUGUUUUCUGUUGUAGGUCCUUGGUGAAUUUUGUUGUUCUUGGAUGUGUCUUGAUGUCGCUGGGAUAGUUGCGGUAUGGUGUUGUCAACGCAGCUUUUUUCUUUGGUUCUCGUUGUGUUUUGAAGCAAGUACUGCAAUCUACUGCAUAUGCCAUGAUUUUGUAGCAAUUUUUGGUCCACUUACAUGGAUUUUGCUCCAAUUCAGUAUUUGGAGUUGGAAAAGUGAUUGUUGCCAGUUUGUGUGGGAUCGGGUUUUGCCUAUGCACAAUAAGAGGUUUAGCCAUGUUGGUGCUACAAGUAUCUUUGGUUGUUGGAGAGGAUGUGGUGCGGUGUCCUUGUUUCUUUGUUUAUUUUAGUAUAAUAAUUCUCAGAAAUUCAAUAGGAGUUUGUUGAUAUUUGUAUUUAGUGUUCGACUUUUCAAUGCGGAUUUGCCGUUACUGAUGUUGUGCAAUGGAUCUGUAUUGCAGGUCUGAGUACAUGUACUUUUGUCUGUUGAAUUGGAGGUUUUAGGUUUUCUGGCAUGCGUAAUUCUCUCCAGAUCAAACCAAUUUAUUUUUGUAUUUGGUCACUGGAGAUGUUGUACUCAUAUUUUGGCAUUGUGG
This 1081-nucleotide long non-coding RNA is filed under the name Prunus dulcis (almond). RNAcentral describes it as "sRNA ncRNA". Lineage: Eukaryota; Viridiplantae; Streptophyta; Magnoliopsida; Rosales; Rosaceae. The record is from RNAcentral.